This is a long non-coding RNA of Lagenorhynchus albirostris (white-beaked dolphin), 12307 nucleotides long. RefSeq lists it as uncharacterized. The record is from RefSeq and is a predicted model, not a curated record. NCBI's taxonomy places the organism in Eukaryota, Metazoa, Chordata, Mammalia, Artiodactyla, Delphinidae. The transcript is spliced from 2 exons.
CAGCGGCCAUGGCUCACGGGCCCAGCCACUCAGCGGCACGUGGGAUCUUCCCGAACCAAGGCACGAACCCGCGUCCCCUGCAUCGGCAGGCAGACUCUCAACCACUGCGCCACCAGGGAAGCCCUCUAAGUUUCUUUUGAGGGUUUGAUUUGUUCUACUUUUCUUGAGGACUCUGGUGUCCAAGUGGAGUAUAAACCCCAUGUAAUUCCUAGAGCUCUAGAGAGUCCCUUAGUAAUUUGGGAAACAAAGGCAGGCACACUGUCACUCUGGAUGGACUUGGGGAGCCCAAACCGAGGGAUUAUUUCCUUGAGCAGGGCCUAGGAGACCUCCAGGGCAGUCUUGGUUCAGGUGGGAAACGCCUCCAUCCCCCGGGGAAGGUGGCAGUCACAGCCGGUAGGAGUCUGGAAUUUCCUCGUGCCUGGGGCGUUACUAUAAAACCAGCUGGCCAGUCCUGACCUGGACACGUGCCUUCAUAUUGGGUGGCGGUCGCUGCCUAAGUGUUGGGCUUAUUCCGGAGGCAGAUAGGGCACGCUUCAUCCCCCUGUUUAAGGAGAUGGUGGAGAUUGGGGGUAGUCAUGGACUUGAUGAGCCAUUGAUACAGGCCUCCUGCCCAUAACGUGUGCUGGGGCCAGCUUCCCUGGUGGCCUGCAGUGCAGAGGCCGGCGGGAGGAGCCGUCACCCCGGGUAUCCUGGGCUUUUAAAGUAGCCGCAUCCCAAAGCCUUUUCCCUCUCCUUCGGGGGGGCGGAUGGGAGUUAGCGCCUGGGGGCCCCGGCAGGAGUAGCAUCAGCGCUGUCCCCAGCCUCUGCUGCUCGUUUAGCUGCCCUGUCUGCCCCGUUGUCUCCUCUUAUAUUCCUGCUUCUCUCUUUUGAUGGCUUCUGCGGUGAAUGCCUGCUGCUUCCACAGGCAGGAGUGUAGUCUCCAGCGGCUACAUCAUGUCUCCCUCAUUCUUCAUCUGUUUGUGCCCUGAGGUCAGCGUUCCCCUCCCCCUCCACAUGGCCCCAUGAGCGUGUAGGCAUUGACGGCUUUCCUUUCCCCGGCUCUAGUGCCCCGAUUAGGACAGUUAAUUCGGGCAGUUAACGGGGCCAUCUGAGCAGAGCGGCCAGAGGGCAGAGCUUUAGCCUGCACCCCUUGAGCGAUGGAAACCACGUCCUGCCUUUCGUGUCCCAUCUUUCAUGAAGCUCCUCCCGUGGGUGAGCCACUCUGAGUCUGCAUUCUCUCUAGGGGAGCUCUUCAGGUCAGGCCGACGGGGGUAACCCUGUUCCAUAGCUUUCUCACGACCACGGGUUAAUCUGGGGCCUGGCUGAGGUAGCAGGGGGGCAGGGUGAGGACACCACGGGGCCUCAGUCACAGACGUGUUGUCUAGAAGUGCGGCUUGGACUUGCAGGGUUAUGAGGGGCUGGAGGUGGUGGGAGUACCAGAUGGUCAGGGCCUGUCCAAAGGUUAAUCUGUCAGCCUCUCUGAAGAGCUGAGAAGUACCAGCUCCAGCCCGUGAGCACGGGGGACACCCUUUAGCUACGACCUGGAGUCAGAGGUCCCAGUUUUGUGAAAGCUCCCCUGGGGCAGUUCCUCCUCUCUCAUGUACACAUAGAUGGAGGGGACGGCUCGGCUCAGGUCGCGGGGAAGGCGGGUGUGGCUCUCACGAGACAGCUUUUCAGUUCCAGGAGUGCCCGGUCACGAUUGGGGGUCCACUCCAGAAGUCAGGGUUCUUCCCUUUUAAUUGUUCAUGCAAGGGCUUAGCAGUCAAGCCAAAGCUGGGAAUCCCUAUACAAGCAUAUCCAGGAAACCCUUUAGCUGCUUUCCCUUACUAGGGGCGCCUGCCGUCUGGCACAUCAGCCCCUUCCUCUCCUUAGAUGGCGCCGCUUGCCCCUCUUCUACUAUAAAUCUUAAGUCUUCUACCCGCUGGAGGGGGAGCUGGGCUUUUUCCUUUGAAACUUCCUGUCCCCUCUCCGCCAGAUGAUUGAAGGCGUUAGCUGUGUUACAGGCUGUUUGGUGGGGCUGGUGUUAGGAGUGUCGUCCGCAUGCUGAAGUAUAGUCCCCUGUUCUAACUCAAGCUCACCACGAUCUUCAGGGCGGAGCCACCCAGCCCAGUUGUUUCCUCGUGCUGUCAGGGUUCCUGCCUUUCGAUUGCAAAAUCUUAAUGAGAUUUUGCGGUUAGGGGCACACAAAGAAGGCAUCUGUUAAGUCUAACAGAGUACCAGGUCCUCUCAGGGUUUAGGGUAGCGUAAUGGGUACGGCUUUCGCACCACAGGGUGAAUCUCCUCCGUAGCUUCAUUUAUGGCCCAGGGGUCCUGAACUGGCUGGUAUCUCUCCCAUUCGGCUCCUUUACCGGCAGAAUAGAAGGGUUGCCAGGGCACUGGCAGGGUCUGAGAAGCCCUUGCUUGAGUGGGCUUUGUGCCCACCAGCGCUUCUUUGCUUAAGCGGUGUUGCUGUGGGUGAUUGUGGCCGGCUCGCACCUUGAUUAGGACUGGCGGUGCCCUCCUGGCUCUGCCCACAGUGUUGCAGGACCCUACAGAGGGAUUAACCCCCUUAAGGAUAAUUGGGCCAUUAAAAAAAUAAUUUAUUUGGCUGUACCGGGUCUUAGUUGUGGCACGCAGGAUCCUCCUUGCGGCACGCGGGAUCUUUCGUGGUGGUGCAUGGGCUCAGUAGUUGUGGUGCACGGGCUUAGUUGCCCCAUGGCACGUGGGAUCUUAGUUCCCCGACCAGGAAUGGAACCCAGACCCCCUGCAUUGGAGCGUGGAGCCUUACCCCCUGGGCCAUUAUUUUUGGCCGAGGGCAGUAGCACUAGGGCUGCAGAACGGAAGGGGGUCUCAGGUGUUUCAGUGGUAAGGUUUUUGUCUCAGAUAAAGUGUAGCUGCCAAUCUGUAUAGUAGGUCUCUUCCUAUUAGAGGAAUUGGGCGUUCCGGGACAUAGAAAAAUGAGAUAACAUUCUCUCUUCCAAACCACACUCAGAAGAGCUCUAUAAAAUUACGUUCCUGUGACUCCCCUUCCACUCCCAUCCUUGUACAUUUUUCUUUGGUCAUCCUGCCUUGUUGGAUGUUCAGGACUGAGUAGGUAGCCCGUGUGUGACUAGAAUGUCAACUGUUCUACCCACGACAGUCAGAGUCAGCCGAGGCUCCUUCAGGGAGCCCCUGGGCCCCUUCAGCCCUCUUCUUCUUCCCCGUGUGGAACCAGCGAGGGUGGGCCAGGACACCGUGGUCCCCUUGGCUUCCUUCCGAGACCUUUGGGGCACCCCCUUCCAGUGGCUCUGCUCCAGGCACUGUGCACCCUGAUUGGCCCUGAGCCCCGCUCUCCACUGUGGGUGUGGUCUUCGAAACCCUGGCGACUCAUGGAUGUCACGGGGUCCCUUCGGUGGUGGGGAGGAGGGAGCACCAUCACAGGGUGGCUGGUGACCCUGAGUCACGGAAGCCAGAAUACUGCCAGUUGGUUCUGCUCGUCUGCCUGCCUCAGCAUCCGCCCGCAGAUCCCGGUUCUUGAAGCCCCGAAAUGCUGGCUCCAGCCCUGGGAAGGGGGCCUGGGGGCCUUGUCUCCAACUUCUGUCGUUUUCUCCUCGUGUCUGGGCGCUCUGGGAAGUGGAAUGGGCCUUGAGAACGGCCUGCCCUGCCCCUGACCCCAGGCUCACGUCCGUGUACACGCCAGCACUCCUGAGGCAUUCCAGGAAAGCCGCGGGGGGUGGGGGAGGUCUCCCUUCUGCCCCGGAUGAUCCCUGAACCCUAGUCCCGUUUAUGGGUUUCUUCUUUGCCAGAUGAAUGCCCGUCACAGUCACACCCCUGAAACGCGUGAGGUGCUGCCGGCCGUUUUCCUCUCAUCAGCCCCACCCAGGGUCCGUGCUGGGAACGGCCUGGAUUCCAGGCGGGUGUAGAGCGUGUCCUGCAUUAUUUUGAUGGGUCUCAUCAGCUUCCUCCCUUGCACUAGUUAUAAUCAGUGCCCUUUCUUUCCCGGAGAAUAAGAUGUUCAGGAGGGUUUGGACAGCCGCCAAGUGGGGAAAUGGGUGUGAAUAUUCCCUGGACUAAAUUAAGGACUCCCUCGGGGUAUCCUUCAAACCCUUGGAUCUAUCCUUCCAGUUAUGUCGAUCUGGGAAGACAAGGGUACGUACAUAUGGUCAUACUGCCCCCUCCUCUGGGGACCUCCUGAAGGGGGAAUAGCCCACUGAUUCCAAAGGGCUGGUACUGAACGCGGCUACGGGUGUGCAGUGGACUGAUCCGCGAGGGAACUGUGGAGAGAUGGAGGUGGGAGAGUCAGGGAGGGGGCAGCAGGUAGGGGGUGGUGGAUUGGGGGGAGUAGAAGGCAUCAGGGAACCAGGAGAGGUAGGGGUAGAUGACUCAGGAGUCUCAGGUGAACUGUCAGAAGGGGAGUAGCUGCCCUUGGUGGAGGGAGGAGGUCACGAGGACCCUCAGGCUGAGACUCCAAUACCAGGAGAGAGAUUAGAAGUAACCUCGUGUUUUGGGGUGUUUUUUAAUUAAUUAAUUUAUUUUUGGUCGUGUUGGGUCUUCGUUGCUGUGCCUGGGCUUUCUCUAGUUGCGACGAGCGGGCUUCUCAUUGCAGUGGCUUCUCGUUGCGGAGCACGGGCUCUACGUGCACGGCUUCAGUAGUUGUGGCACAUGGGCUCAGUAGUUGUGGCUUGCGGGCUCUAGAGCGCAGGCUCGGUAGUUGUGGCGCACGGGUUUAGUUGCUCCGCGGCAUGUGGGAUCCCCCUGGACCAGGGCUCGAACCCGUGUCCCCUGCCUUGGCAGGCGGAUUCUUAACCACUGCGCCACCAGGGAAGUCUACUAUUUGCAUUUUGAAAAGUGCUGUGGGGAGAAGGGAGUUCCAGGGUUGGUAAGUGUAUGGAUCCCACACCAAGAGGUCUCGGUGCUCUAACUGAAACCUGAACCAGUAUGCUUAGGGGCUGGAAGGGGAGGCGCCCUCUGAGAGGGCCUUGGUUACAAGGCCUCCUUUUAAUUCAGCGACUUGACAUUCCCAGACCCAUUGUGGGGCUGUAGGAGAUACUCAGUGUAGGUGGGUGCUUUCAGCCACCAGUCCCUGGAGAUGGGGUGAAGGCGGAGUAGGAAAUAAGGGUUCUCUCUCCAGUCAGGCGAAUUGCCCGCAGGGCCGCCCUGGCAGGCAAGGAGGUCUGUUCAAAGAGGGCGUGUCCCUGCUCGGUGACAGGUAACCAGGCAGGGAGGCGAAUGCCCAUCUGGCAUGUAUCCAGUUUACUCUCAGCUACAAGGACCCAAGGCCUUUGGACAAUGUGGAGGUCCUCUUCCUUCCCCAGCCAGGCAAAGUGAUUUUCCUGAAAUAUGGCAAAAACAAGCUUUUUAAAGGGUUUGUGUCUCAGAGGAGGGAUCCCUAGGGACCUGCGAUGGAGGGUAGCGGGGAGAGACCUGCCUGAGAGAGAUGUGGACCCUGCCCGGGAUGGCCAGUUAGGGCAAGAGGAAGCAACACAAGAUGUGCUCUUGGGUUUCCGAGUAGAGCCUAGAGGUGGGAACUCUGCAGCGGUGGGGCUGAGUGUUCUACUGCGUGCUUCCAGUUGGCAGUGGGCCUGGCGCUCACCUACCCUGGUCCACGACCAACGCACCCUUUCACGAGAGUGUGUUUGGUGGCGAGCGCCCUAGUGGCCUGUAGGCACUCAGCCUGUACCUGUGGUUGCGGCACGUACUACUUCCAAGAGCACUAGGACAGGCAAGGCCACACAGAUCAGAGCCUGACGCUUCCCUGCGCCGAGAACAGAGACCAGGGCGCACGUCACACACAUAUGAAACAAGGAGGUGUUCUUGCCACGCCAUGGCGUCUGGAGGGCUUCCUGUCCAGUCCAGUCCCCUUGCCAGGAACCAGUCAAACUGGGAACCAGUUGUGCGAUCUCGCCUCUCCCCUUGCCAGGGGGUCGGCUCUAUUUAGAUGACCAACUGACCAGUCCAGUCCUCUAGACUGAGGUCUGUCUGCAACGAGACGACCAGGAUCCUUUCCCUUACCUUGCCAACCCUCACAGCCAAACCUCGGCCGGAGCGGGGUCAGCGCCCAGCCCAUGUCAGGUGUCCCCUGGGCACUGCCCCGAUCUGUAGCAAGCGUCCUUGCUGUAGAUACACAGCGCGGGGGACACUCCACUUGAUCCUUGGCUGCUUUUAGAUCUCAGACUAAAUUCAGUAGUCCUCACUGGCCCAGAGGUUCAGAACUGGGGCAGACUGCCCAGUUAUUUAGCUGACCUUGUCAGCCCCGGGUCAGGGAGUUCAGCCCUGAGUUACAGGACGGAAUGGGCCCCACGUUGGGUGCCAAAAUUUGUUCCCGAAUUGAAUCGUAUGGACCCGCUUGCCUGGCCAAGGCUGGCUGCCUCGGGAUGGGGGUGGCGUCCUUUUUCCAUUCGAGUUCGGGAGUGGGUGAAUAAGGAAGCAGAAGCUGACAUGCGCAAGCUUUAUUCAGUGGCCAGAGACUGGAGAAGCGGGAGCUAAGUUCACAGACGAACUUCUUGCCCCCCUGGUGAGGGGGAUUUAAUUUUAAAGGGAGGAGGAGUGAGGCUAAUGAUGGGGACCCAUAGGCAGUAGUCUGCGGGGGAGGGGCAGGGCUUUUCCGAGGGCGUGGGGGGGUCACCCCCUUUUUAUCCUGUUUUGAUCCUUAAUACCUGGUCCUGGCUGCCGGUAGGUGUGUCAUUUAAUAUGCUAAUGUAGUCAAAUCAGCGUAUAAUGAGACUUGGUCUGUUGGAGGUCAGAUUUGUCGCCAUCUUGGUCCCAGUGGUUCUUUUGGUUUUUUUCUUUGUGUGUGUGUGUGUGUGUGUGUGUGUGUAGCUCUGGACCCUUUAACUUAAAAAGAUUGUGUUCACUCCCGCUAAAGGUGGGGGGGUCAGAGCGUCGUGAGCAAGGACGCUUCUAAGGGUCGGGGCCGGAGAGUUGAGCAAAGACCUGGAGCAGCUCUGGCAACACGCUCGGGGCGAUUAACCUCAUGCCCUGGGCAUAGCAUCCGGGUUUGGACGUGGGAGUUGUGGCCACACCCCUUCUGAACCGCGACCUCCUGGGGUCACACAAAUAGAUGCUGCGUAAGGCGCAGAGAACCCUGUGCGUCUCCCCUCUAGGGGCCUCUGUGGGGACUGAGCCUCAGCGCCCCCCUCCCCUUCUUUCCCGAGCUCUCCUGGGUUCCCGGGUGACAGGGAGCGUCGGUCACAUAAAAGGGAGCCUCGAAGGUGAGGCUGCCCAAGGCUGGGGGUGGCCCUCUCCGGGAAGGCCUCCCCGCCCCCAUGUUUCCUCCCACCUCUGGGCCCUGGCUGAGGGGCAGGCAGUCGUCGUUUCUGUGACAUGGAGGGCUGAGCCAGCGGGCUGCAGACGAGGGGCUGUGUUUAUUGGAACAAAAUACGCAGUUAGAUUGCACCCCAGUUAACCCACAACCCCUCCACCCCCCGCCUGCCACCUGGACCCCCUCCUCUGGAAGGGUGGCCAGCUGGUUCCUGCCACCUUCGCGUCGCUGGUCCCAGGCCUGGGCAGCCGUUUGGCGGUCACUCUUGGAUGUUCUGCCCGAUCCAACCUCUCACAGCAGCCACCCGGGUGUAGACGCCUGGGAACUGGGGUCGCCCACAGCCGUAACCCCAGCUGGUGACCCCAGUUAGCACCCACCGGCCAGAGGGCUCCCUGCAGGCCAGGGGUCCCCCAGCGUCACCCUGAGGAAAGGAGAGAAGAGAGGAAAGGAACUCAGAGCAGGCAGUACCUCUCCGGCAGCAGCCAGGGGUGGGCUGGCCUGAUCUGCGUGCUCCUGGGCCACCACGGGAGUGUCACCUGGGCUCUCCCUGUGACCCCAGCUAGUGGCUUCCUCCGUGAGCCUCACUCGUAUGAUCUGGGAAAUUGGUUCAGUGCUCGGGUGAGCGUUCAUCCGCCUGGCAGACAUUGGUGGGCACCCGCCUGGCGGUCCAGGAGCAGAACCGGGCCUCAGCCCACAGCCUCUGCCCGGCCUGCUCCUGACCCUCUGAGGGGCGGGGGAGGGUGCAGUGGGGGGAACGCCGGCUUCUUAGGGGUGUCCACGAAGUGGCUGUCCAGUGGAAACUCGGAGACCCAAAAGGUGCCCUGUUUGAUCUAACUGAGGAAGCGCACCGCAGGGUGGGGCCUGGCUCGCGGAGCCCCGGUCCAGUUGCACAGUGCGCUCACCGAGCAGCUGUCCACGCCGCCCUGUGGGAAGCCCGCGCAGAGCAUGCGGCUACUGAUCUGCACCGGGUAGAAGCGGCGGCACGUCUGCUCGCUGAGGAGGCGCACGGCCGCCUUCUGCAGCUGCCGCGCCAUCGAGCCUGCGGGCGAGAAGGGACCUGGUGGGCCCGCGCCCUCCCUGCGCCGUUGGGACUCCCGAUGGAGGUGCAGGCGGGGUCCUUCCCGACGCCCCCGGACCCUUAACCCUUGGGGGGCCCAUCCGCGCCUACCUCCCUCGCGCACGGAGCCCCAGCCGGUGAUGACGCAGCGCGCGCCGUCGGGGGGCCGAGGCACGGGCUCGGGCAGGCAGAUGGGCCGCACCAGGCGGCUGCGGCGCACGGGCGCCGCCAGCUCCAGCAGCGCCACGUCGUAGUCCAGCGUGUAGAGGUUGUAGAAGGGGUGCUUGUGGAUGCGCGCCACGCGCUCCAGCUGCCCCUCAGCGCCGCUCAGGAACGGCGUGCCCAGGAAGGCCGCCCACUGCUUGGGGUCCCCGUAGCUGCGGGACGUCGGGGACAAGCGUCCACCCGGGUCCCCGCACCCCGGCGCUGCUCGCCCGGGGCUCCCCGGCACCCUGCCCUGCGGGGGCUGCGUCCGCGGUCGGCUGGGGAAACCUCAGAUCGGGCACUUGACCUCGGUUGAGUCGUCCCUUUGUCCUAGAACAGCAGGGAGGACGAGGGGGGGGCCCCCGCGCCUGAACGCGCCCAGCCGGCCCCCAGGCACUGAGGUGACACUACAAGCUGUGUCCAUUUCCACCUAAUAUUACGGCUCUCCCGCCUGCCCACCCGCUGUGAGCUCGGCACCGCGAGGCGCAUCCUGAGCCGGGUUUCUCCGUGGAGGGCAGGCCCCUGGCCCGGUCCUCCUACUGCGCACCCUGCCAGGAAGGGGACUCCCCACUGGGUGACCUUUAGGGUGGUGCCAGUCCGAGCAGGAUGGCUAGGGAUGGAGGUGUCCCGCUGGCCCGGAGCCGCCCCGUUUGGUGGGGGUCGGGCACUGGACUUCGCCCCGCUGCCCUGUGUGGCCAGGGGAGGGCUGUGCGGAAGAGGGUAUGGCCUGGGGCAGCGGGUGUCCGGAAAGGGCUUUGCAGGCAAAGGCGCGGAGGUGCCACACCCUGAGUUUUUGGGCUACGAUUGGGUCCCGGUGAACCACGGACACGGGCCAUUCGGGGCGGGCGGGACUCACACGUCAAAGCAGUGCGCUGCCGACAGCAGCCACCUCUCGGCCACCAGCACGGCCCCGCAGCGGUGCUCCCGCCGCCGUAGCCACAGGCUCACCUGCCACGGCCACUCCCCGCGGCCCGCGGCGCUGCCGCCCACGAUCCUGGUCAGUGUUGCUGCCGGCGCCAGGCCGCAGUCUGCGGGAGAGGCGGGCAUGGGUCGGCGGUCAGACCACGCCUCCUCCACGCAGACCGCCCAGCUUCGCCCCUGCGCGCAGUCCUGGUUAGCGGCGCCUGGGAGCAGGGAGUGGGGUGGGAGACCCACCUCGGGGAAACGCCUUCCCCCAGGGACCCUGGGCCUGGCGCUUGGUCCUACAAACGAGCCUCUUCAGGGCUUUUCUCUGAUAAUGCAUUUAAGUUUGGUUCCUGUAACCUCAGCCUUGGGGCCUCACCUCCCCAGCUGGGGGCCAGGCCAGCAUCCCGUCGCUCCCCACUCCUCCCAGGCCUCUUUCAGGCCCCUAGGAGCCAAGUUCCCUGCUGCCCCAGGGCCUUUGCACAGCCCAGCUGCUUCCCAGGAGGCCCUGCCUGGUCACACCAGCUCAUGCACUGGCUGGUCUUCCUGGACGCCCUGUCAGGGGCUCUUUACCUGGGUCUAGUGACCCAGUGUCCUUCCUAGGGUAGUCCCUCCGUCCUGUGACAGACACCCUUCCCCACCUGCAGCACAGGGUGCACCCUCGGAACACAAGAGUAGGAAGACCAAACGGGUAGCUCCGAGGAGUGCUGCAGGGACCACCGUCGGCACCCGGGGCGGGGGGGGGGGGCGCUCAGGUACACAUCUGAUAAUUCCCACAGGCUGUUUUCCAGCUCCACAGCCAGUGCCCCCUCCCCAGCCCUGUCUCCCACCAGCCAGCCGCCUCCCCUGCCCUCCAUGGUCGGGGAAGGCCCUCCUGUCCCCACACCGAACAAUGUGUGCCGUGUCAGGAACCCUCCUCCACCUCCUGGCCCCCACGUUGAGAACUGUAGCUACGGGAAAAGGAAGAAUCACCAGGCUGGAGGCCCGACCCAGAGACAGCCGGCUGCAGAGUUAACAAGAACCCGUAUUUCUCCCAAGGACACGGUGCAGCCGUAAAGUAUCAAAACGCCCCCUCCUCUGAGUAUCCCUGCUGGACGGGCAGGGGCAGCGAGGUCCCCUUGCGCCUGGAGGAUCUCAGUCACAGAGACUGUGCCCCGAUUUCCAGCCCAGUCCAGCACCUCAGCUGAGGGGGUCUCUGGACUCGACUUUCUUGUGGUACCCGGAGAGGCACCAUGUCCAGACCCCUGGCACGUGGUCUGCUUUGCUCUGAGCCGGUCAAACCCUGCUUCCUCUCAGCGUCCCCUCCACCCCUCUGCCCCGGAUCCCACAGCGCCUGCCUCUCCCUCUGUUUGGUGAGCCGCCCCUUGGUUCUUUGGUGUGCGCUGCCUUGCUGCAGCGAGCCCGUAACCCUGACUUUGUGGGUGCAGGUCUGUAUCUGGGGACUUGGGCUGACUGGGCCAGCCUCUGUGUGAAUGUGGGGGGCGACGAAGGGCGGGGAACAGAAGCCGGGCCCCGUUCUAAGCUUGGUGCCUGGGACACUGUGGACGGCAUCUAUCUGAGGCAUAGGAACUUGCCUACAUUAGAUGGGGCCUUACUUCUGACCCAGAAAUAGGGCGGUUUCCUAUGGUUCUGAUGAACAUUUAAUAAAAAUGAACUCCACAUCUCAGACGCAAGCUCAGGGCCAUGUUCUCUGUCUCAUCUGUCAGCCAGUUACUGCCCUGUUGUACCCCCCUUAGGCCUGUGGGACCAGCCGUUAACGUGUGCAUCUGCCCUGUCAGUGCCGGGUCCCUGCCGUCGGGGCCUACGAUGGUCUGACUUGUGUCCCCUUCAAAAUUCGUAAGUGGAAGCCCCUGACCCCCAGAACCUCAGGAUGGGACUUUUGGAGAUGGAGCCUUUAAAGAGACGAUUAAAGUAAAAUGAGGUUCGGGUGGCCCUAAUCUAGCAUGACUGGUGUCCGUAUAAUAAGAGGAGAUUAGGACACAGACACCCACAGAGGGGAGACCACAUGAGGAUGCGGGGAGAAGAUGGCCGUCCUCACACCGAGGAGAGAGGCCUCAGAGGACUCCAGCCCUGCCGACACCAUCUCCACCCCCCAGACUGGGACGCUGUGACAGCAGCCCUAGCAGAGGCACCGCCAGGCGCUCCCGUGCUGCCACGAGUGGGAGAAACAACUCAGCAGAGCUGGACACGCACAGGACCUCAGCAGGACGGGCCUCACGCCCGCGUGGGGCUGUGAGACCUUGUGUGACCUUGAGCAAGUCACCUCUCUCUGAGCCUGGAUUGCUCUUACUUUUGCAUUGGAGACAAAACAAAACAGCAGAAAACCCUAAAGAAAACUCUCCUGGGCAAGAAUAUACAAUGGGAAAAAGACAGUCUCUUCAGCAAGUGGUGUUGGGAAAGCAGGACAGACGCAUGUAGAUCAGUGAAGUUAGAACACGCCCUCACGCCAUGCACAAAAAUAAACUCAGAAUGGCUUAAAAACUAAAUGUAAGCCGUGACACCGUAAAACACCUAGGAGAGAGCAUAGGCAAAACAUUCACUGACAUAAAUCGCGCCAAUGUUUUCUUAGGUCAGUCUCCCAAGGCAAUAGAAAUAAAAGCAAAAAUAAACAAAUGGGACCUAAUCAAACUUACAAGUUUUUGCACAGCAAAAGAAACCAUAAAAAAAAAAGAAAAAAAAAAAAGAAAAGACAACCUACGGAAUGGGAGAAAAUACUUGCAAACGAUGCAACCGACAAGGGCUUAAUCUCCAAAAUAUACAAACACCUCACACAACUCAAUAACAAAAAACCAAACAACCCAAUCGAAAAACGGGCGGAAGAUCUAAGCAGACAUUUCUCUAAAGAAGACAUACAGAUGGCCAACAGGCACAUGAGACGAUGCUCAACAUCACUAAUUAUUACAGAAAUGCAAAUCGAAACUACAAUGAGGUACCACCUCAUGCUG